This 1597-nucleotide ribosomal RNA is filed under the name Allobates sp. Huanuco. RNAcentral describes it as "16S ribosomal RNA". It matches the Rfam family "Bacterial large subunit ribosomal RNA", at positions 361 to 2925 of the family's 2925-position model. The record is from RNAcentral. Lineage: Eukaryota; Metazoa; Chordata; Amphibia; Anura; Aromobatidae.
GCCAAACUUCUAGCCUCACAAACAAUCAUGAAACUUCAUUAAUUUAUACCCCAUUACAAAACAUUUUUCUAAUCAAGUAAAGGCGAUAAAAAAAUUUUUCAGAGCAAUAUCAAUAGUACCGUAAGGGAACGAUGAAAUAAAAAUGAAACAACUAUUAAGCACAAAAAAGUAAAGUUUUCUCCUUGUACCUUUUGCAUCAUGGUUUAACUAGUCCUUUUAGGCAAAAAGACUUUAAGUCUAACUCCCCGAACCUAGGCGAGCUACUCUAAGACAGCUUUUAGAGCCAACCCAUCUCUGUUGCAAAAGGGUGGGAAGAUCUUAUAGUAGUGGUGAUAUACCAAACGAGCCUAAUGAUAGCUGGUUGCUUUUUAAAAGGAUUUUAGUCCAACUUAAAGUUAUUUAAAUCCCAACAAAUUAAACUUUAAAGUAAUUCAAAUAAGGUUCAGCCUAUUUGAAAAAGGAUACAACCUCCUCCACUGGGUUACCACACACAAUAAAAAUUAAGUAGGCUUAAAAGCAGCCACCUCAAAAAGCGUCACAGCUUAAUCUAAAUAAUAAUAUAAUUCCUAAACACCCUCUCAACCCUUCAUCACCAAAAAGCAAUUCUAUACCCUUAUAGAAAAUUUUAUGUUAAAACUAGUAACAAGAAGUAGCCCUUCUCUUAAAUGCGCCUGUAUAUCAACACGGACCUUCCAUUGAUAAUUAGUGUCUAUAAACCCAUAGUAAAUUUUUUCCCGAAAACCCUACUGCUGUCAACAUUAACCUAACACAAGAGCAUUAAAAGAAAGAUUAAAAGAUAAAGAAGGAACUCGGCAAACCUUAGCUUCGCCUGUUUACCAAAAACAUCGCCUCCUGGCUAAUCAUAAGAGGUCAAGCCUGCCCAGUGACAUUGUUCAACGGCCGCGGUAUCCUAACCGUGCGAAGGUAGCGUAAUCACUUGUUCUUUAAAUGAGGACUAGUAUGAACGGCUUCACGAAAGCUAUGCUGUCUCCUUUAUCCAAUCAGUUAAACUAAUCUCCCCGUGAAGAAGCGGGGAUUAAUCUAUAAGACGAGAAGACCCUGUGGAGCUUUAAACACCUUAAAACAUUUGAUUUUUACCUUAUUACUUUCUGUAAACCUUCCCUAAGUCCAUCAUUUUGUUUUAAGUUUUAGGUUGGGGUGACCACGGAGAAUAACCUAACCUCCACGUAGAAAGAACCUUCAUUCUAAGCAAAAAGUUACAUCUUUAUGCAUCAAAAUAUUGACUUAAAUUGACCCAAUUAUUUGAUCAACGAACCAAGUUACCCUAGGGAUAACAGCGCAAUCCGCUUUAAGAGCUCCUAUCGACAAGCGGGCUUACGACCUCGAUGUUGGAUCAGGGCAUCCCAGUGGUGCAGCAGCUACUAAUGGUUCGUUUGUUCAACGAUUAAAGCCCUACGUGAUCUGAGUUCAGACCGGAGCAAUCCAGGUCAGUUUCUAUCUAUAAAGAGUUUUUUCUAGUACGAAAGGACCGAAAAAACAUGGCCAAUGCUCUUAACAUCACGCCAUCUUUUAAAAAUUUAUGUUUCAAACUUAAUUACCAAAAACCCUAGUAUCGCUUUUAAGAUCAAAACUUUAA